UCUUCUUCUAUUUCUUCUUUUAUUUUUUUCAUUUUUGUAAAUUUUUUUUUAGGUGAGUGCAGGGAUAUCAAGAGGAAAGUUCUGCAGAAACAGCAACUGCAUCUGAGCCAAUGGCCAGCUUCGCGUAAAGCAUGUGUCAUUCCUUCCCUCUACUAUUCAUAUACAGUAAUUCCCCAGCCACAGUGUUUUAUUCUUCCACAUCAUCACGGGGGGAAUGACUGCAGCAGAUUUCAGCAAUCCAGUAGCCAAUGGGGCGACAGACAGUACUCAGGAAAAUGUAAACUGAGAAGACAGACUAGCUCAGUAAUUAAAAAAAAGCAAGCUGUGAGAUAUUUUACUGGAAUCUGGACAAGAAAAAUGUCUGUUCUGGCACCACUAUAACCAAACAACAAUAACAGGUUGUGACCCAUGCUGCACUCAGGGAAUUAGUCAUAUAGCCUUUGUGUUCAGCCUUCUCAUAGGGGUAUGAGGUAAAGCCACACCAUGCUGGUUCACAGCCUUCUGUAGCUCAUCAUGUUAUGAAAUACUAAUUGGCAGAUGGAUGGGGGAGAAACAAGAAAAGGAGUGAAUACUUCGAUUAGGCUGUUCCCAUAGAUCCCUCCUGUGCUCUGACGACUCUUCAGCCACACACCUGGGCUCUUCUCAUGUAUUUUAUUCCUGCAGAGAGUGCACUCUAUUGCUUAUAUGUCAUGUUUCACUGAGGUGUGUGAGGGAGGGACCGGAACAUUUGGAAUUUUUGGCAGUAAUUUUGCAACUUUUGGUAUCUGAAGAGAGGAAAAUACUUAUUUUGGUUACUUUUGCUUUAUCAAGAAAGACCUUGACCCAUUUUUGCUGCUAUGGACUGAAAACACGUACAUCUGUUUCUUUCCACUGCUUAAAUGAAAAACACUGAUGACAUACAUACAGAGAGAAAGCACACUGAGUUUUUAAGGACUCUCUGGCAGCUUUACCAUUUCCCUUCUCUAUGCAAAAGAUGUACGUUAGUAAAUUAAUAUGGCUGGCACUUCCUCUUCCACACCUGGAAAAUCAGUUGCUGGAUCAGUUUUCAUUAAUCCUAAACCUAGAUUAUUUCUUCGCUGUGUACAUACUUGCUUCUAAACUGCACUCGUUUUCCUACAUAGCUAAAAACACAGCUUUGUACAGAUUCUGUGUAAGCCACAUACUACAUUUAAAUUUCUGCUCAGUUCCAGAGAUUAGAUGAUGCUUAAGCAGAAUACAGACCUUAUCCAACCCCUCUGCAGUGAAUUUCUGAGCUCACCUGCAGAUGAAAUUCCAAAUUGCUGCUCCAUUAAAACCAUAAUACAGACAAGAUUAUACGCAGGAAAGUAUAUGGUAGCAAAUUUACUACAAGAUGAAGAUUUUUCAGUGUCUUUCCAGUGAAUCAUAGUCUUAUCUUUGAGUUUCUCUCUCUUUGUGCACACACACACACACACACACACACACAACUUUGAGGAGUGUUAAUCAUUUAGCAGAGAUGACUUAUUUCACCCUCUCUGUUUUCUCUUUUCAUGAAAAUCAGAGCUAUUGGAAGCUCCUGUAACGCCACAUAUUUUCCAGAGCCUACAGCUGCGGAAUGUCAGGAGGUGUAAGCUUUCAUGAAACAGGCCUCAGGAACACAACAGGAAUGACGAUUACAGCUCGGAAAAUUAUUUCCUUAAUGUGGAAGCCCUGGAGACAGCUGGUCCCUUUUCACCUUUCACAGCUGGUGCCUUAUUCUCUUCUUCUGGCACUACGUAGCUCAGGGAGGCAGAAAUCUAAUCAAUUCUUAUUUAUUAUAAUUUAUUAUAUUAUAAUUAUUAUAAUACAUUAUUAUUAUAUUAUUAUCAUUAUGCUACAAUUUCUUAUAUUAUAAAUUCCUCUCUCAAUAGGUCUGAAAGGCCAGCACUGAAUACUUCACAUUAGGAUGCCUACAGAUAGGGAGCUUCUGUGGACUUGCUCAUUUAGCAGAGCGCCUCCAUACAAGAUGGAUGAUAAAGAUCAGGGACUUCAACAAAGUUGAAAAGCUCAUCUACUAUGUGAGUAUGAGACCUCAUCUGUGACCAGUAAGAAGAACAUCUUAAGGUCAAGGAAAGGAUCCCAUGAGUUUUUCAGUCAACUCUUAAAAAGGAAGAUUUCCUUUAAAAACAAUUACUGAUACUUUUGGAUCUGUAGGACACUACCAAGAACAAAAGCUAAGAUGCAGUUUAGCAACAGAUUAGGUACAAGGACUGCUCCAGAAGUAAUGCCUCUUAUAUUAUUAUUUUGGCCCACAAUGUCAGAGGCAGAUCAUCCCCAGAACAUUCUCCUUCAUGAAGCUUUCCAGACACAAUGACCCAAGACUGCAAUGUAGCUUAAGGCUGUUGUGAACAAAGUGCAGGACUUAGUGGUCCUGUUGAAGGGCCUUCCUACCCUCAAGCAGAUCGACGCUUCUUCCCAGCUUGGUGUCAUUUGCACUUUUAGUAAGGGCGCACUCAAUGCCCUCAUCCAGAUCUUCAAUGAAGACAUUAUGCAGGAUGGGCCCCAGUACCAACCUCCAGGGAACACCACUCAUGACUGGUCACCAGCUGGAUUUAACUCUAUUCAUCACCACUCUCUGGGCCCAGCCCUCCAACCACAUCCUUACCCAGCGAAGAGUGUGCGCUCCAAGCCAUGGGCUGCCAGCUUCCCCAGGAGAACACCAUGGAAAACAGUGUCAAAUGCUUUGCUGAAGUCUAGGUAAACCAUGUCAACAAAUUUUAAAUGAAGUAAAGUUGUACCACUGAAUUCCUCCAUGCAGGCAAAACUGCACUACUGACAUUCACUGGCACUUACUGAAUGUUAAUGGAGAACAACCAGAGGAUGUGAGCACACUGGUGUAUUCCAAUGGUAGCGAUGUUUACAGUGGUCACCACCACUGGUGCAGAUUGUUAUGAAUGUGGCAUGCAGCUCUUGUUCAUCACUGGUGAAAAUGCAGAGCUAAUGGUGGUGACUGUGUUGAAAAAUAGUGUUUUGUAGCUGAAAAUUUUCUCAAGUAGCGAUACUGUGCUCUUUGUGUAGUUCCCAUGGAAAUAAAUAACAGGCAUUACAUUCAGAUACACGUAUUUAUACAUAUAACACACAUACAUAUAUCUUUACCUGUAAAAAACAGCUUUAAAGUCUUUCCAUUCUCUUUUGAAAUAAUCAUUUUAAUUUUAAAUUACCCUCCUGCCAAUCAGUAGGUGUAAUCCAGUUGUCACAGUGAUGGUGCUGAAUGAAAAAAGCCUGCAGUCUGGACAGAGCUCCUAAUUCUCAAAAGGCCAAAUAAAUAAUAAAAUAAAAUAAAAUAAAAUAAAAUAAAAUAAAAUAAAAUAAAAUAAAAUAAAAUAAAAUAAAAUAAAAUAAAAUAAAAUAAAAUAAGGAAGGGAGUAAUGGAGUGGGUUACAGUGGAAAACAAGCAUUUUUUUUUCACAUAAGAAUAGAAUGGGUGUUGAAGUUUAUACCACUGGGCUCCAUGCAACUGGAUGCUCACAGAUCUGAUUGGGAUGGGGAUAGGAGAGCAGGAGCAGAUGGUGCUGAGGGCUCUUGACUUGGAUUUAAGAGAGAAAAAUAAUUAAAUACAUCCUAAUAAUGCUAGAAAACCUCUGAAACACAUAAUGAGGCAGACAGUAAAAACUCAGGAUCAGUGUUUCAUGCAAACGAUUUACCUUUUUCUGGC
Coturnix japonica (Japanese quail) is the source of this 3652-nucleotide non-coding RNA. The record is from RefSeq and is a predicted model, not a curated record. NCBI's taxonomy places the organism in Eukaryota, Metazoa, Chordata, Aves, Galliformes, Phasianidae.